GGGGCUGAUUCUGGAUUCGACGGGAUUCGCGAAACCCAAGGUGCAUGCCGAGGUGCGGUGGCCUCGUAAAAAACCGCAAAAAAAUAGUCGCAAACGACGAAAACUACGCACUAGCAGCUUAAUACCCUGCUUAGAGCCCUCUCUCCCUAGCCUCCGCUCUUAGGACGGGGAUCAAGAGAGGUCAAACCUAAAAGAGCUCGUGUGGAAACCUUGCCUGGGGUGGAAGCAUUAAAACUAAUCAGGAUAGUUUGUCAGUAGCGUGUCCAUCCGCAGCUGGCCGGCGAAUGUAAUGAUUGGACUAAGCAUGUAGUGCCGACGGUGUAGUAAUUUCGGACGGGGGUUCAAAUCCCCCCAGCUCCACCA
This 363-nucleotide transfer-messenger RNA is filed under the name Yersinia frederiksenii. RNAcentral's name for it is "transfer-messenger RNA%2C SsrA". It matches the Rfam family "transfer-messenger RNA". Rfam says of the family: Bacterial tmRNA, also known as 10Sa RNA or SsrA, is named for its dual tRNA and mRNA-like properties. Its role is to liberate the mRNA from a stalled ribosome. To accomplish this part of the tmRNA is used as a reading frame that ends in a translation stop signal. RNAcentral also lists the same sequence under 1 other name. The record is from RNAcentral. Lineage: Bacteria; Pseudomonadati; Pseudomonadota; Gammaproteobacteria; Enterobacterales; Yersiniaceae.